RNAcentral lists this ribosomal RNA (107 nucleotides) under Caerostris darwini. The record is from RNAcentral. Lineage: Eukaryota; Metazoa; Arthropoda; Arachnida; Araneae; Araneidae.
AACGGCCGUACCAUGCUGAAUAUAUCGGUUCUCGUUAGAUCACCGAAGCAUCAUUGGGCGCGGUCAGUACUUGGGUGGGUGACCACCUGGGAACACUGCGUGCCGUU